AUUUACAUAGUUUUAAAAAAAACAUUAUACUUUCAUUAUAAAAUUAGACCAAAUCUUGUAAAUA
This 64-nucleotide transfer RNA is filed under the name Dorcus hirticornis. RNAcentral describes it as "tRNA-Glu". Lineage: Eukaryota; Metazoa; Arthropoda; Insecta; Coleoptera; Lucanidae. The record is from RNAcentral.